Molecule: small RNA, 83 nt
Filed under: Marmota monax (woodchuck)
Lineage: Eukaryota; Metazoa; Chordata; Mammalia; Rodentia; Sciuridae
Source: RNAcentral
GCUGGGCGUGGUGGUGCAUGCCUGUAAUCUCAGUGGCUUGGGAGGCUGAGGCAGGAGAAUUGCAAGUUCAAAGUCAGCCUCAG